CCUACCAAUCUCCACCCCUGGAUGUGGAUCCAACUCCGCCCCCUGGAUCUUUUGUUCUGCAGUGAGGGGCUACUGGGAAACUGGCCAAUGAAACUGUUCGCGCCUUUCUAAAUUUGAAAAUAUGACCGUUUUUAUCGUCUUUCUGAGUGAGGCGGCUGACUGACUGACUCUGUGUGUGAGCUGCUGCUCGUUGAGAUUGCUCGGUCGUUCCCGAUUUAUUUUAUAUUUGCCUGUUAAAUUUUUAUUUUGAGCGAAUUUGAGUCGUGACGUGUCAACGGAGAACAAAAACUAGAAUGUGAACACAGGAAGGGUCAGGUGCGAUUUGCGAGGUCCAGCAAACACACGGACAAAAUCAGAGUUAUCAAGGAUCCAGCUGUUUAUUGGCAAUUUGGACAGUACAGAAAGUGCACAAGUGUGAGAGAGAGGAGGGGACGGCGUCAGAAAGGACCUAGAGCUGGGACUCUUUCAAGGAUCACCCAAAGCACAACCACGCUACAUGCAAGGCAGUUGGUUCUAACAUUUUAUCAGAAUUUGAAGAAACAUUUCUACUUAAAAUAUUAAAUGCAUUUCAUUCAAGGCAGCGUUUUUCCUGCGUAAAGAAUUUCCUCUGGCUGUCGACAAAACUCUCUUGUAAUGAGACACAUUAGUAAAACAUGUUUUCACAGAAACUAUAGAUUUCCACCAAAAUAAAAAUCAACUGGUUUCAGUCAAAAGAAGUACAAGGGUUUCUCUUGCAAGUGCAGCGCAAAAUAUGCAUGUUAUGGUACAAACAUCUUGAGUCUUUAAAUGUUUUAUUUGGAUUUUACAGGUUUUUAACAAUACAUCCAAGCACAAACACUGCAAGCUAAAGUUUGGGAUUAUUUUCAUCAGUUUUAUACAGUAUGUUUCCAAAAUAAAACUGCAGUUUUACAAUUUUCAGUGUGUGGUAGUUUAUUGAAGUUGAUUGUAAAGCCAUUGCUGCCAGUUUUACAGGUUUUUAACAAUACAUCCAAGCACAAACACUGCAAAUUCAAUUUGCAAAAUCAACACAUAAUUCAACGUUAAUACAAUGUCUACAGAACUACUUUAAUUCACCAAUGCUGUAAGACGGUGAAACAACAUCACAAUAUCAACGUUGAUCCAAGUUGCUAAAUCGAAAC
This is a long non-coding RNA of Onychostoma macrolepis, 1139 nucleotides long. RefSeq lists it as uncharacterized. The record is from RefSeq and is a predicted model, not a curated record. The transcript has 3 exons. NCBI's taxonomy places the organism in Eukaryota, Metazoa, Chordata, Actinopteri, Cypriniformes, Cyprinidae.